RNAcentral lists this ribosomal RNA (519 nucleotides) under Triticum aestivum (bread wheat). Its description in RNAcentral is "partial small subunit ribosomal RNA". The record is from RNAcentral. Lineage: Eukaryota; Viridiplantae; Streptophyta; Magnoliopsida; Poales; Poaceae.
AUGUGCAUCACGAAGAAGAAUGGAGGAUUGGGGUUUAGAGACCUUCACAAUUUUAAUCUUGCUUUAUUAGCAAAACAGUGUUGGCGACUUCUCCAGAAUCCAGACUCUUUGUGUGCAAGAGUUCUUAGUGCAAAGUACUAUCCAAAUGGAAAAAUUCUUAAUGCGGGUCCAAAGAAAGGAUCAUCCUUCACGUGGCAAAGUAUUGUUUCGGGAAUUCGAACUUUUAAAAGGGGACAUAUCUGGAGAGUGGGAACUGGCUCGCAUAUUGACAUCUGGGAUGAUCCGUGGAUUCCAACAAGUGAAAACCGAAAGGUUAUUACACCACGAGGACAAGCUAUGGUAGAUAAAGUUGAGGACUUGAUUGAUCCGAUCUCUGGCCAGUGGGAUGAGGACAUAUUACGAUCUGUCCUAUCACCAGUAGAUGUCCACAGAAUCUUGCAAAUACCCCUUCGGAUUGAGGUGAUGGACGAUUUUGUUGCGUGGCAGCACACUCGGUCGGGCACGUUCUCUGUCAGGUCG